RNAcentral lists this ribosomal RNA (253 nucleotides) under uncultured bacterium. RNAcentral's name for it is "partial 16S ribosomal RNA". It matches the Rfam family "Bacterial small subunit ribosomal RNA", at positions 524 to 776 of the family's 1533-position model. The record is from RNAcentral.
UACGUAGGGGGCAAGCGUUGUCCGGAUUUAUUGGGCGUAAAGAGCGUGUAGGCGGCUGGGUAGGUCCGUUGUGAAAACUCGAGGCUCAACCUCGAGACGCCGAUGGAAACCCUCCAGCUAGAGUCCGGAAGAGGAGAGUGGAAUUCCUGGUGUAGCGGUGAAAUGCGCAGAUAUCAGGAAGAACACCCGUGGCUAGGGCGGCUCUCUAGUACGGUACUGACGCUGAGACGCGAAAGCGUGGGGAGCAAACAGG